Molecule: ribosomal RNA, 234 nt
Filed under: uncultured bacterium
Lineage: Bacteria
Description: partial 16S ribosomal RNA
Rfam family: Bacterial small subunit ribosomal RNA
Source: RNAcentral
UGAGCAAUCUGCCCUUCUCUUCGGAAUAAGCGUUGGAAACGACGUCUAAUGCCGAAUACGACCUCCUUUCGCAUGAUCGGAGGUGGAAAGCUCCGGCGGAGAAGGAUGAGCUCGCGGCCUAUCAGCUAGUUGGUGUGGGUAAUGGCCCACCAAGGCGACGACGGGUAGCCGGCCUGAGAGGGUGACCCGGCCACACGUGGGACUGAGACACGGCCCAGACCUCCGUACGGGGAG